CACGUAGGGCGCGAGCGUUGUCCGGAAUUAUUGGGCGUAAAGAGCUCGUAGGCGGCCUGUUGCGUCCGCUGUGAAAGCCCGGGGCUUAACCCCGGGUCGGCAGUGGAUACGGGCAGGCUAGAGGUAGGUAGGGGAGAAUGGAAUUCCCGGUGUAGCGGUGAAAUGCGCAGAUAUCGGGAGGAACACCGGUGGCGAAGGCGGUUCUCUGGGCCUUACCUGACGCUGAGGCUCGAAAGCGUGGGGAGCAAACAGG
RNAcentral lists this ribosomal RNA (253 nucleotides) under uncultured bacterium. RNAcentral's name for it is "partial 16S ribosomal RNA". It matches the Rfam family "Bacterial small subunit ribosomal RNA", at positions 524 to 776 of the family's 1533-position model. The record is from RNAcentral.